RNAcentral lists this ribosomal RNA (254 nucleotides) under uncultured bacterium. RNAcentral's name for it is "partial 16S ribosomal RNA". It matches the Rfam family "Bacterial small subunit ribosomal RNA", at positions 524 to 776 of the family's 1533-position model. The record is from RNAcentral.
UACGUAGGGUGCGAGCGUUAAUCGGAAUUACUGGGCGUAAAGUGUGCGCAGGCGGCGCCGCAAGUCGAGUGUGAAAGCCCCGGGCUUAACCUAGGAAUGGCGCUUGAGACUGGAUAGCUUGGAGUGUGGCAGAGGGAGGUGGAAUUCCACGUGUAGCAGUGAAAUGCGUAGAGAUGUGGAGGAACACCGAUGGCGAAGGCAGCCUCCUAGGCCAGCACUGACGCUCAUGCACGAAAGCGUGGGGAGCAAACAGG